GGCGGACCCAGGUGCUUCAGUUCAUGGGCGGCGGCGAUCGUGUGCGGCAGCUGGCCGUGGACCGGUGCCAGGGCAUUCCAGCCGCGCGGCGGAUUGAUCUCCAUACCAGCCUUCCCGGCGGCAGCAUAUCGGGUGCCCGCGCGGACCGGAGCGCGCGAUCCGGCGGGGGAUCAGAUGCCCGCGAUCCGGGGCUGACCGCUGUAGCGGGCCAUGAGGUGUUCCUGCAGGCCGAUAGCGCAGCGGUCGGCGGCCAUGGGGGGCCCGACCCAUCUGCCGUCGGGCUGAAGCGUCCAGCAGU
This 298-nucleotide unclassified non-coding RNA is filed under the name plant metagenome. RNAcentral's name for it is "partial contains 5.8S ribosomal RNA, internal transcribed spacer 2, and large subunit ribosomal RNA". The record is from RNAcentral.